RNAcentral lists this long non-coding RNA (204 nucleotides) under Capsicum annuum. RNAcentral's name for it is "long non-coding RNA (CANN_LNC018461)". The record is from RNAcentral. Lineage: Eukaryota; Viridiplantae; Streptophyta; Magnoliopsida; Solanales; Solanaceae.
AGUUUGAGUUCGAGGUCUGUCAGUCGUGGUUCAUUGGUCCCGGGUCUUCUGUCAGUUCAAGUUGGUCGAAUAAAAGCCCCAAUUUAAGGUCAUAUCCUCAUCUUAUUCUUAUUCUUAGUUCAUUUUUAUUAUGGUGAGUGGUUGAUUAUUGUCGUCUCGACUUUCUCUUUAUCUUAUGCGUGAGAUGAAUGAUGAAUGUCGAAU